Molecule: ribosomal RNA, 305 nt
Filed under: uncultured bacterium
Lineage: Bacteria
Description: bacterial SSU rRNA
Rfam family: Bacterial small subunit ribosomal RNA
Source: RNAcentral
AACACCCUACGGGGGGCAGCAGUGGGGAAUAUUGCACAAUGGGGGAAACCCUGAUGCAGCGACGCCGCGUGAGUGAAGAAGUAAUUCGUUAUGUAAAGCUCUAUCAGCAGGGAAGAAAAUGACGGUACCUGAGUAAGAAGCCCCGGCUAACUACGUGCCAGCAGCCGCGGUAAUACGGAGGAUGCGAGCGUUAUCCGGAUUUAUUGGGUUUAAAGGGUGCGUAGGCGGAUUUUUAAGUCAGCGGUAAAAUGUCCGGGCUCAACCCGGGCCGGCCGUCGAAACUGGGGAUCUUGAGUGGGCGAGAG